AAUCCUUUACUGGAAAAAGACGCUACCAGCAGACGGCCACUCCGCUCCACUCCACUCACGGAGACUUCUUCGCUCGGGUGGUGACGCCACCGGCACGCGUCGCCGGUAAUCACAAGUUCACCGAUUUUAACGGCAGUUUCCGGUAUCACUGUGAGUCAGGCGAAGACGCGAGUCAACCCGGUUCCUGGCGGCAGCAACAGGGCGCCCAAACCAGUCAGCCAGGCAGCCGCCAGUCAACCAGCGAGCGAGAUGUCCGCGUCGGCUCGAGCCCGGAGCCUUGAAGGGAAGAAGAAGCGCGACGGGAGAACCACGACGCCGAGCCUCUUGGGCGAGAGAGGAUGCGAAUGGUGACGAGGUGGCAGAGUCUACGACUACAAGACGAAGGGAGAGGAUGUAGCGUCGCCGCCGCGCAAUUUCCAACUAACGUCCGUAGAGUAGAAGAUAGAUAGCCGAGGAGGAGCUAGCUUCAGUAAUAUUUACAUGUAAAGUUGUUCGAGCUGGGGCGCGCGGCGGGGGAACAGUGGAACCGAAGCCGCCGGGGAGAGUUGAGGAAAUCAAGAUGCUACGAAGAAGCCUCAACCGACUGUUUAAAGGCGACGAAAGAAGAGUCGACAGUCGGACUAUCUUCGUCGGUCAUCCGCCAUGUUCUGCCAGCGAGCCUUUCAUCCCGCCAAAGUUUUGUGACAACAGAAUUGUGUCGUCUAAGUAUACCGUGUGGAACUUUUUACCAAAGAACUUGUUUGAACAGUUCAGAAGAAUUGCCAAUUUCUACUUCCUUAUCAUCUUCCUGGUGCAGGUGAUAGUGGACACCCCCACCAGCCCAGUCACCAGUGGCCUACCCUUAUUUUUUGUGAUUACAGUGACGGCGAUCAAGCAGGGCUAUGAGGACUGGCUACGACACAAGGCUGACAAUGAGGUGAACAAGUACCCCGUGACAGUGCUUGAAAACGGUCUGAGGCUACGGAAGGAGAGUGAGAAGAUCAAGGUGGGAGACAUUUUGGAGGUGGAGGAAGAUGAGACCUUUCCCUGUGAUUUAAUCUUGCUCAGAUCCAGCCGGGAUGAUGACACCUGUUUUGUUACCACUGCUAGUCUGGAUGGAGAGUCCAACCAUAAAACACACUACACUGUUGCAGACAUAGAGAAGGAUCUGGAAUCCCUCAGUGCCACUUUGGAGUGUGAACAGCCUCAGCCUGACCUUUAUAAGUUCGUCGGCCGUAUGCACAUCUACAAAAGCAAUCAGGAGCCUGUAGUAAGGUCUUUGGGCCCGGAGAACUUGCUGCUUAAAGGAGCAACCUUAAAAAAUACUGAGAAAAUCUGCGGUGUCGCUAUUUACACUGGCAUGGAGACCAAAAUGGCUCUCAAUUAUCAGGGCAAAUCUCAGAAACGCUCUGCUGUGGAGAAGUCCAUCAAUGCCUUCCUUUUGGUGUACCUUUGCAUUUUGUUGAGCAAGGCCCUGGUGUGCACCACGCUCAAGUAUGUGUGGCAAAGCAAGCCCGGACAAGAUGAGCCUUGGUACAAUACGAAAACCCAGAAAGAGAGGGACACCAAUCAGUAUCUAAAGAUGUUCACCGACUUCCUGUCAUUCAUGGUGCUCUUCAACUUCAUCAUUCCCGUGUCCAUGUACGUGACCGUUGAGAUGCAAAAGUUUUUGGGGUCCUUUUUCAUCACCUGGGACAAGGAUUUCUUUGACCCAGAAAUCCAGGAAGGGGCGCUGGUCAACACCUCCGACCUCAAUGAGGAACUGGGACAGGUGGAGUAUGUCUUCACGGACAAGACGGGCACCCUCACUCAGAAUAACAUGGAGUUCAUUGAGUGCUGCAUCGAUGGAUACCAGUACAAGCAUCAAGACUUUGUCGCAGAAGUAGACGGAUUAAACUCGGAAGUAGAGGCAGACUUAUUUUGUGUCACAGAUGGGCCCAUGACCAAACUGAAGGAAAAAGCUGACAGGGACCGCGAGGAGCUGUUUCUGCGCGCCCUUUGUCUGUGCCACACGGUUCAGGUGAAGGAGUCCCCUGAGCAGAGUCCAGUCCAAGGUGGCGGGUUGGGCGACCAGGUAGAUGCCGUUGUACUCAGCGACCCUAAGGAUGAGAGGGGCUUCAUAGCGUCCUCACCUGAUGAGGUCGCUCUGGUCAAGGGUGCCAUGAGGUAUGGCUUCAAAUUUCUGGGUCUGGAAAGUAAAGCCAUGAAAAUCCUCAACAGGAGCCAUGAAAUCGAAGUCUAUGAGUUGCUUCAUGUGUUGAAUUUUGACCCUGUGAGAAGACGAAUGAGUGUAAUUGUCAAAUGCAAGUCAGGUGAUAUUGUGCUCUUCUGCAAGGGAGCAGACUCCUCCAUUUUCCCUCGCGUCAGACAGGAGGAAGUGGAACCGACACGUGUGCACGUGGAGCGGAACGCAAAGGAGGGCUACAGAACACUAUGUGUGGCUUACAAACUACUCGACCUGGAGGAGUACGCCCAGGUGGACGCAGGCCUGAGGGAAGCCAGGCUGGCUCUGCAGGGCAGGGAGGAAAAGCUCGUGGCCAUUUAUAACGAAGUGGAGACCGGCAUGAGUCUCAUCGGCGCGACUGCUGUUGAAGAUAGACUUCAAGAGGAGGCCGCAGAAACAAUGGAGGCUCUGCAGGGGGCCGGCAUUAAGAUCUGGGUCCUGACGGGAGACAAAAUGGAGACGGCAAAGUCUACCUGUUUUGCCUGUCGCUUGUUUCAGAUGACCACCGAGCUGUUGGAGCUAACGGUGCGCACUCUGGAUGAAGGAGGUCAAAAGCGCGAGGAACGACUGCACGAGCUCUUACUCGAGUAUCACAAGAAAGCGGUGCAGGAUUCGCCGGCCUUAGAAAAUGGCAUCAGCGGGAACUGGUCGGUUACCAGCCACGACUAUGGUUUCAUUAUUGAUGGAGCCACUCUAUCAAUGGUGCUCAACUCCGCCGAUUCCAACUCCAGCCACUACAGGAACCUCUUCCUGCAGAUUUGUCAAAACUGCACCGCUGUGCUCUGCUGCCGCAUGGCUCCAUUGCAAAAGGCCCAGAUUGUAAAACUGGUGAAGAACUCUAAAGGCAACCCGAUAACCCUCUCCAUUGGUGAUGGUGCCAAUGACGUCAGCAUGAUUUUGGAAGCUCAUGUUGGCAUCGGCAUCAAGGGUAAAGAGGGUCGGCAGGCGGUGAGGAACAGUGAUUACGCCAUCCCCAAACUCAAGCACCUGAAGAAACUCCUGCUGGCCCAUGGACAUCUCUACUAUGUUCGCAUUGCACACUUGGUUCAGUAUUUCUUCUACAAGAACCUGUGCUUCAUCUUACCUCAGUUUUUGUACCAGUUCUUCUGCGGCCAUUCUCAGCAGCCCCUCUAUGACGCAGCCUAUCUGACGAUGUACAACAUCUGCUUCACCUCUAUGCCCAUCCUGGCUUACAGCCUCUUGGAGCAGCACAUCAGCAUCCAGGCUUUGCUGAACAAUGCUCCCCUCUACAGAGAGAUUCGCAAGAAUGCCAUGUUGCGAUGGAGGCCCUUCAUGUACUGGACGUUACUCGGGGUCUUCCACGGUUUGGUCUUCUUCAUCGGUGUGCGAUGUUUGUUCAGGAACGCCGCCCUGCCGGAAAACGGCCAGGUUUAUGGGAACUGGUCAUAUGGCACAAUCGUCUUCACCGUCCUCGUCUUCACGGUCACAUUGAAGCUUGCCCUGGACACACGACACUGGACAUGGGUCAACCACUUAGUAAUAUGGGGCUCCCUUGCAUUUUACAUGCUUUUCAGCUUCUUCUGGGGAGGAAUUAUUUGGCCAUUCCUGAGGCAGCAGCGUAUGUAUUUUGUGUUUGCCACCAUGCUGAGUUCAGUGUCAGCCUGGUUGGUCAUCAUCUUGCUCGUCGUGCUCAGCCUCCUGCCAGAGAUCCUUCUGGCCGCCUUCCGCAAGCCCUUCAACCCAUUUACUCAGCAGGUACCGGUCCAUCCCUGGGCCUAUGAAGCCAAUCUAAAGCUGCCUACCAACCCAAGCCCCCUUCAGCUGAUGUCUCCACAAUCCUGGCUUCUAACUUAGUCUUACUAGGCAUCGAUUCCAAACACGACGUGCUGCCCGACGAAGACCAGCUGUGCACAUCCAGGCUGCAGCCGUGGCUCUCAUAUCUUACAAACAACUGAUGGCUCACCAGUGAAGGGACACGGCAGUGGCGGCCAUAUUUCAGGGUUCUGUGCCAGUCAGGUCAGACGCAUGAUCACCACGGGAGGAACGGCGGCACCUCUGACUCUACUUUAAGGAGGGAAAAAAACUCAACUGUCCGUCCUCUCGAUUAGUUUUGACAGUCUAACACACACAAACACGCCACCCAUGCAUGAUUGCGGAGCAGCUCACCUUUUUCUUUAUUCUUUUUUUUUUUUUUAUGUACUCAGAUGAGAGACUUGACUAUUGUCUUUUAUCUACAAAUGAAUGCAUACACAAUUGCCUUGUCCCAAACACUGACUGCUGUGUUUUAACAAGCAGUUACAUUACCACUCACUCUUAUGCUCGACUGCAUGAGGGGAAAAGUCUUUAUAAUGCAAUGUUUUAAAAAAAAAAACGACGAGAAGGACAAGGUGUGUUAAAUGGUUAUUUGUUUCCCCCCCAACAUAGGUAUCUGGGCCAUCACUUUUUUUUUUUCUUUCAAUCAGUGGUCUGAAAACCUGUCAUUCAAGUUUGUUAGUUUGCUGAAACCCGUCCACGCGCUCUAAAAAAAAAAGCCAAAAACGUGUGUGUCUCUGUGUGGGGGGAUUAAGGAAUGGAUUAGCGAUUUAGGGGCAGUGUGGCAAAGCUCAUAGCGUGACCUCAAUCUUCACGCCUUAAAAGUGUUUUUGUUUAAUUUAAAGAUUCCAAUUAAGAUGAGAGAUUUAAUAUAUGUGCUAUACUGUAUGAAGCUCAUAUGCUGAAAGCCAAAAAAAGACUCGGACAUUUGUGACUUGAAAGUGUUGUUUUUUGUUGUGCAUGCCCACAAAAUUCCUGAAUGGCUCAAGAGAAGCCACAAAUACCUGUGGGAAACUUGCAUUAAUUUGCCUUUUACAGUGGUGCCUUGACUUACAAAUUUAAUUAGUUGCGUGACCAUGCUUACAACUCUAAUCUCUUAUCUUCAGGUAUUGUUUGCAGUUGAAAUGAAUGGAAAUGCCAUUAAUUGCAGCAGCAACCCCCCAAAAAAAAUAUUUUUCACAAUAAACACAUCCAGUAGUGUCACAAGUAAAUUAAAACUAAACAAAUUGAGCAGUUUUUUCUACAUUUCAGUUUUAUUAGAUCUACCACAGUGACAUUGGUAUUUGUUAGCCCAUUCAUAGCAUUAGCAGGAAUAUGAUAGCAAUAAGGUAACACACGCUAAGGCAACAUGAGGUUUUAAAUACAGGUUUUGAAGAAUUGUUCGCUAUCUGCCAAACUGCUGCUUGCUGUGAAGUGAUUUGACUUCACUAUACAACCAACACUUGGAUUUUUCUGGUUUUAUUUUUGCUCACAAGUCAAAGCAACAACAACAAAAGUCCAAUGUUGGCUCUUAAUUCCAAAAGCAAGUCAGGUCACGCAUAUCUGAAGGCAUCACUGUAUUUGGAAAGAAAUAGGGCCAAAUCAGCCGUGGACACGUUGCUUUUUAAAUGAAGCUAGAAUUAGCCAAAUGGUUUGUUUGACAAGCAACUUGAAAUGAAAUCCUACGAAAAUUCUUUGACCACUACUGCGCUGUUGACGAGACAUCAAUGGUUCAUCAAGGCACGUGAACCUCACUAUGUACACGGUAGCCCACUGUGAGGAGGUGAUAUUAUAAAAUAAAUAUACUGUAUGAUGAUGCAUUCCCUUCAACCAUCCAAUUACUUUUACAGCCAUUAUAUUAAGGGUGAGGUUUUCCACAUGAGUAUAUUUUUCCGUAUUUAUUAAGGUAUCAUUUGACUCGCAAAUGUUCUAUUUUUAGGUCUUACUAUGGAAAGUUAGCCUGUCUUGAUAUUCUUACAAAAAAAAAUGCUUUCAGGCUUUAUGAGUUACCUCCUGACUGCACUGUGCUGGCAAAAGAAGUCAAGCCUGCUUUGUUAUGAAACUUUACAACCUUUAAGUGGCAUCAGUGAUGCCUUUUCUUUUUUUUUUCCCCCCCGACGGCUUUCAACCUUUGUGGAGUUUGUUUCCCAUGUCUAAACAGAAAUCUCAACAGCGGAUUGUAUUUUUAACCCUUUUCUCUUUUCCCGAGCUACUUUUCUGUAAGAAAAUCAAAAUGUACCAAAAACCAAGAGGUUAUGGACACCGUACCAUCUUGUGCCCUUUUUUGGCUCGCCAGCCUCAAAACACUCCUCGACCUCUAAGAUGAAUGUAUUGAAAUUCUAUUUAAAUUCUGAAAGUUUCUCUUUAAUAAAGACCAUUUUUGAAGAUAAAAA
Molecule: RNA transcript, 6348 nt
Organism: Syngnathus acus (greater pipefish)
Lineage: Eukaryota; Metazoa; Chordata; Actinopteri; Syngnathiformes; Syngnathidae
Gene: atp11c
Gene name: ATPase phospholipid transporting 11C
Exons: 31
Source: RefSeq, a predicted model, not a curated record